GUAGGUGAACCUGCGGAAGGAUCAUUACAGAGUUCAUGCCCUCACGGGUAGAUCUCCCACCCUUGAAUUAUACUACUUGUUGCUUUGGCAGCCCUUACCGGCUGCCAGAGGAUAAACCAAACUCUUUUUAAUAUAUCGUCUGAGUACUAUAAAAUAGUUAAAACUUUCAACAACGGAUCUCUUGGUUCUGGCAUCGAUGAAGAACGCAGCAUCUGACUGACUACGUGGU
This 229-nucleotide unclassified non-coding RNA is filed under the name plant metagenome. RNAcentral describes it as "partial contains small subunit ribosomal RNA, internal transcribed spacer 1, and 5.8S ribosomal RNA". The record is from RNAcentral.